UCUCCGUAGGUGAACCUGCGGAGGGAUCACUACAGGCUUGUAAAAGCUCUGAAACCACUGUUUAUCUACCUGAAUGUGCCUCGGCGGGCGGCGCCCCGGCGGGGCCGUAGCCGGCAGGCGCCGGCCGAAGAACCAUAAACCCUGUCUUCUUGAGCAACUCUGAGUGAUUGUAUUAAACAAAAAAAACUUUCAACAACGGAUCUCUUGGCUCUU
RNAcentral lists this unclassified non-coding RNA (213 nucleotides) under plant metagenome. RNAcentral's name for it is "partial contains small subunit ribosomal RNA, internal transcribed spacer 1, and 5.8S ribosomal RNA". The record is from RNAcentral.